CAGUCGCCGCGGGAAUACGUAGGGUGCGAGCGUUAAUCGGAAUUACUGGGCGUAAAGCGUGCGCAGGCGGUGAUGUAAGACAGUUGUGAAAUCCCCGGGCUCAACCUGGGAACUGCAUCUGUGACUGCAUCGCUGGAGUGCGGCAGAGGGGGAUGGAAUUCCGCGUGUAGCAGUGAAAUGCGUAGAUAUGCGGAGGAACACCGAUGGCGAAGGCAAUCCCCUGGGCCUGCACUGACGCUCAUGCACGAAAGCGUGGGGAGCAAACAGGAUUAGAUACCCGCGUAGUCCCUGUCUCUUAUAC
RNAcentral lists this ribosomal RNA (301 nucleotides) under uncultured bacterium. Its description in RNAcentral is "partial 16S ribosomal RNA". It matches the Rfam family "Bacterial small subunit ribosomal RNA", at positions 509 to 807 of the family's 1533-position model. The record is from RNAcentral.